GAUGAACGCUGACAGAGUGCUUAACACAUGCAAGUCAACUUGAACUUCGGUUUGGGUGGCGGACGGGUGAGUAACGCGUAAAGAACUUGCCUCACAGAUAGGGACAACAUUUGGAAACGAAUGCUAAUACCUGAUAUUAUGAUUUUAGGGCAUCCUAGAAUUAUGAAAGCUAUAUGCGCUGUGAGAGAGCUUUGCGUCCCAUUAGCUAGUUGGAGAGGUAACGGCUCACCAAGGCGAUGAUGGGUAGCCGGCCUGAGAGGGUGAUCGGCCACAAGGGGACUGAGACACGGCCCUUACUCCUACGGGAGGCAGCAGUGGGGAAUAUUGGACAAUGGACCAAGAGUCUGAUCCAGCAAUUCUGUGUGCACGAUGAAGUUUUUCGGAAUGUAAAGUGCUUUCAGUUGGGAAGAAAAAAAUGACGGUACCAACAGAAGAAGUGACGGCUAAAUACGUGCCAGCAGCCGCGGUAAUACGUAUGUCACAAGCGUUAUCCGGAUUUAUUGGGCGUAAAGCGCGUCUAGGUGGUUAUAUAAGUCUGAUGUGAAAAUGCAGGGCUCAACUCUGUAUUGCGUUGGAAACUGUGUAACUAGAGUACUGGAGAGGUAAACGGAACUACAAGUGUAGAGGUGAAAUUCGUAGAUAUUUGUAGGAAUGCCGAUGGGGGAAGCCAGCUUACUGGACAGAUACUGACGCUGAAGCGCGAAAGCGUGGGUAGCAAACAGG
Molecule: ribosomal RNA, 723 nt
Filed under: uncultured Fusobacterium sp.
Lineage: Bacteria; Fusobacteriati; Fusobacteriota; Fusobacteriia; Fusobacteriales; Fusobacteriaceae
Description: bacterial SSU rRNA
Rfam family: Bacterial small subunit ribosomal RNA
Source: RNAcentral